RNAcentral lists this long non-coding RNA (1485 nucleotides) under Piliocolobus tephrosceles (Ugandan red Colobus). RNAcentral describes it as "lncRNA (ENSPTEG00000010064.1)". The record is from RNAcentral. Lineage: Eukaryota; Metazoa; Chordata; Mammalia; Primates; Cercopithecidae.
AUGACUAUAAAUAAUUUUAAUACAAUUUUUAAUGAUCCAAAAAAUGAGUUAAAUUUUUUAGAUUUAACAUUAAUAUGUAAUACAUAUUCCAAACUGUAUAAUAUACAACAAGUGGAAAAUAUCAUAAAGUUCAAAAAUAUAUUAUACAAAUUGUUUCUUUAUUUUUUAUUUUAUAAUAAUAACAUUGAUUAUAAUCAUUUAAUUUUAUUUAUUUACAGUUAUAACAAAAUAAAAGGAAAUAUAAACAAUUAUGUAUUGUUUAAAAUAAAACAUAUUUUACUUGAAGAAAAAAUAAGUAUAUGUACACAUUUAAAUGGUACAAAUAAAAUUCCAUGUAUACUCACCUUAGAUAUAUGUUCACUUAAUAUGCUCAUGCAUGUAUUACAAUGGAACAAUUUUAAAGAUCCGAUAUUUUUUGAACAAAUCAUACUUUCUUUUGUUAUUAACUUAAAUAUAAAUAAAACUAAAAAGUAUAAAAUGAAAAACGGUAUAUUAAAUAAUAGUAAUAAUCUGACAUGUGGUUCGAUAAGUUCUCCUUACACAUACAUAAACAAUAUCAAUAAUGAUGCAAUAAAUAAAGAAAAGAGUGUAAUUGCGAAUGAAGUUAUGAAUAUGGUCAAUAAUGAAACCUCCAAUGAAAUGACUAAUACAAUUACAAACUAUGACAAUACCAAACUUAUAAACACCAAAUCCUAUAGUACACAACAUAUUUAUAAUUUGAACAUAUUAAAAAGUAAAUUAAUUCUUAUGCAAUAUUUUAAUAAGAACAAUAACACAUAUACAUACAUCAAAAAAGAAAGUUUAAUUAAAUUAAAAAAAAAGGACUUAUGUUUUUUAGCAUAUAAUAUAUAUAAAUUAAAUAUAAAAAAUUAUUAUAAUAUAUAUGGGUACAUACAAAACGAAACUAUUAAUCAGAUACAUAUUUUUAAUGUUUAUAAUUGUUGUAUAAUGUUAAAUUGUUUAGUACAUUUAAAAUUGUUAAAAAAUCAAAAUUUGUUUAACAUUAUUUUCUCUCAUUUAAAAAUUCAAUUCAAUAAAAACCAUUAUAAUGAAAAAGAUGUCACUGAUAUUUUUAUAUCUUUUUUUAAAUAUGCACAAAGUAACCCCAACAACAAUAAUAAAAUACAAUCAUUUUUAAAAAAUGUAUAUACAAAUAUUGAAUUUAAAUUAAAAAAGUAUAAUUAUAUAAAUACAAUUGAUAUAUUUUGUUCUGCUUCUUAUUUUAAUAUUUUGUUUAAUGACAAUAUAGUACAAGAUUUAUGUAUAAAUAUACUCAAUAAUUAUAAUUUUAUACAUAUAAAAAAAUUAUUACAAUUUUUAUAUUUUUUAAAAAAUAAAAAUAAUUAUAAUGUUAAUGUUUUUUUUUAUAACUCAAUUAUGGAUAAAAUAUUUGAUAAAAUAAACAAUGCACAGACAUUUUUUUUUUUUUUCAAAUACUAUCAGUUUUCUCCUUUGAAUAUUUACAAAAAAACACACAAAAUAUAA